This 240-nucleotide ribosomal RNA is filed under the name uncultured bacterium. RNAcentral describes it as "partial 16S ribosomal RNA". It matches the Rfam family "Bacterial small subunit ribosomal RNA", at positions 96 to 334 of the family's 1533-position model. The record is from RNAcentral.
UGGCGAACGGGUGGGUAACGCGUGAGGAACCUGCCUCAAAGAGGGGGACAACAGUUGGAAACGACUGCUAAUACCGCAUAAGCCCACGGGUCGGCAUCGACCUGAGGGAAAAGGAGCAAUCCGCUUUGAGAUGGCCUCGCGUCCGAUUAGCUAGUUGGUGAGGUAACGGCCCACCAAGGCGACGAUCGGUAGCCGGACUGAGAGGUUGAACGGCCACAUUGGGACUGAGACACGGCCCAG